AUGCAGGCCCUCUUCGACCAGCCCGAGCUCUCCCUCUCCCUCUCCCUGGUCCCCGCCGCCGCGCCGGCGCUCAACAAGGACGACUACCUCGCCAUCUGCCUCGCCGCGCUCGCCAAAAGCGGGCAGCAGGCGCAGAUGAUGGAGGGGCAAGCGAGAGCGUGGCGCCCGGCCCCCGCGCCGGCGCAGGAGCUGCGAUUCAGCUGCGCGGUCUGCGGGAAGGCGUUCGCGUCGUACCAGGCGCUCGGCGGGCACAAGUCCAGCCACCGCAAGCCGCCGCCCACCGGAGAGCGGUGCGUCGUUGCGCAGGCGUCCGCGGGUGCUGGGUCGGAGGCGAGCGCGGCGGCGUCCUCGGGCGGGAGCAGCGGCGGGCCGCACCAGUGCACCGUCUGCGGGCGGGGCUUCGCGACCGGGCAGGCGCUCGGAGGGCACAAGCGGUGCCACUACUGGGACGGCACCUCCGUGUCCAUGUCCGUGUCCGUCUCCGUGUCGGCGUCGUCGUCCGCCGUGCUGAGGAACUUCGACCUGAACCUGCUGCCGAUGCCGGAGAACGCCGGGUUGAAGAGGUGGGCCGAGGAGGAGGAGGUGCAGAGCCCUCUCCCCGCCAAGAAGCUGAGGCUUUUGCUGUAA
This 627-nucleotide ribosomal RNA is filed under the name Triticum aestivum (bread wheat). RNAcentral's name for it is "partial small subunit ribosomal RNA". Lineage: Eukaryota; Viridiplantae; Streptophyta; Magnoliopsida; Poales; Poaceae. The record is from RNAcentral.